This 301-nucleotide ribosomal RNA is filed under the name uncultured bacterium. RNAcentral's name for it is "partial 16S ribosomal RNA". It matches the Rfam family "Bacterial small subunit ribosomal RNA", at positions 509 to 807 of the family's 1533-position model. The record is from RNAcentral.
CAGCCGCCGCGGGAAUACGUAGGGUGCAAGCGUUAAUCGGAAUUACUGGGCGUAAAGCGUGCGCAGGCGGUUAUAUAAGUCAGAUGUGAAAUCCCCGGGCUCAACCUGGGAACUGCAUUUGAGACUGUAUGGCUAGAGUGUGUCAGAGGGGGGUAGAAUUCCACGUGUAGCAGUGAAAUGCGUAGAUAUGUGGAGGAAUAUCGGUGGCGAAGGCAGCCCCCUGGGAUAACACUGACGCUCAUGCACGAAAGCGUGGGGAGCAAACAGGAUUAGAUACCCCUGUAGUCCCUGUCUCUUAUAC